RNAcentral lists this ribosomal RNA (468 nucleotides) under uncultured bacterium. RNAcentral's name for it is "partial 16S ribosomal RNA". It matches the Rfam family "Bacterial small subunit ribosomal RNA", at positions 28 to 507 of the family's 1533-position model. The record is from RNAcentral.
GACGAACGCUGGCGGCGUGCUUAACACAUGCAAGUCGAACGGAAAGGCCCUGCUUUUGUGGGGUGCUCGAGUGGCGAACGGGUGAGUAACACGUGAGUAACCUGCCCUUGACUUUGGGAUAACUUCAGGAAACUGGGGCUAAUACCGGAUAGGAUCUCCUGCUGCAUGGUGGGGGUUGGAACGUUUCGGCGGUUGGGGAUGGACUCGCGGCUUAUCAGCUUGUUGGUGGGGUAGUGGCUUACCAAGGCUUUGACGGGUAGCCGGCCUGAGAGGGUGACCGGCAACAAUGGGACUGAGAUACGGCCCAGACUCCAACGGGAGGCAGCAGUGGGGAAUAUUGCACAAUGGGCGGAAGCCUGAUGAAGCAACGCCGCGUGCGGGAUGACGGCCUUCGGGUUGUAAACCGCUUUAGCCUGUGACGAAGCGUGAGUGACGGUAAUGGGUAAAGAAGCACCGGCUAACUACGUG